AAAUACACCCUCACAGAGAUGCUCAGGGAUGCUCACUGAAGUUUCAUCUGAGGCAGGGAGUCACAAGAAAGCAGAGAAGGAUGACCCCUGCCAAAACCAUGUUAGAGCAAAGGUGGCAGGGUCUCCCUUCCCUUGAAAUAACUCAAAUGCUGGACAGAGGACAGAAAGCAUGGUUUUCAAAUGCUAAUCAUGAAACAAGGCAAGACUGUGACAGAGAAUCAAAGAAAGCCUCCAGUGCCUCGUGUAACAGCUUAAGAGUUGCCAGCAAUGGUGCCAGCCGAGGAGCCCAGGCAGACUCAAAGAACUUCCCUGGGUUUAAGAGACAUGCUUGUGCUCAAGGGACCAAACUAAAUGUAUACAGGUUUGAUUUUUGUCAAUUAUGCUUCAAUAUAACUAUAAAAACUGGGGUAAAAGCACACUGUAAAAUACUGUCAAUCAGAAGUAACAAAGCUGUAUCUAAUACAUAACUCUAAGUGAGUAAAGAAUCAAUAUUGUCCAACC
Molecule: long non-coding RNA, 501 nt
Filed under: Rattus norvegicus (Norway rat)
Lineage: Eukaryota; Metazoa; Chordata; Mammalia; Rodentia; Muridae
Description: long non-coding RNA NONRATT009688
Source: RNAcentral